Molecule: long non-coding RNA, 266 nt
Organism: Panthera uncia (snow leopard)
Lineage: Eukaryota; Metazoa; Chordata; Mammalia; Carnivora; Felidae
Exons: 3
Source: RefSeq, a predicted model, not a curated record
GGCGAGGGGCAGGUUGGAAGCGGGGGUCACAGAAUUGCAGGGGGGCCUCCGCGAGGAGAAUGAUCCUGAGGAUGCGCAGGUCAGAGGACCAGGCUCCCACGGCCAGGUGAGCUCAAACUCCUAGCAAGGACGCCCUCCCCGCCCUCCCCCCACAACUCGCCUCUCCCUGCCUUUGCUGACGGUGAGGCGUGGCUCAGGCAUUAAUUGAGAAGCUUUGUCGCUCUUUAAAUGAAGAGAAAGAACUUCAAGUGGACAGACAAGCGAAC